CCCGCUGAACUUAAGCAUAUCAAUAAGGCGAGGAACAGAAACCAACAGGGAUUCCCCUAGUAGUGGCGAAUGAAGCGGGAAAAGCUCAAGUUUGAAAUCUGGUGGGUGACCCCCAGAGUUGUAAGCUGAAGAGGCGUAGAUCGACGCGGCCUGGGCUCAAUUUCCUUGGAACAGGAGGUCAUGGAGGGUGAGAACCCCGUCUGUGGCUCGAGUGCCGUUGUCCUUGUGUCUUGUCCUCGUAGAGUCGGGUUGUUUGGGAAUGCAGCUCAAAAUGGGUGGUGAAUUUCAUCUAAAGCUAAAUAUUGGCGAGAGACCGAUAGCAAACAAGUAGAGUGAUCGAAAGAUGAAAAGUACUUUGAAAAGAGAGUGAAACAGUACGUGAAAUUGUUGAAAGGGAAGCGUUUGGCAUCAGCCCAUGGUGCCCAAAGAUCAUCCAGGCUUCUGUCUGGUGCACUUUUUGGGUGCUGGGUCAGCGUCGACUUUGCCUGCCGGAGAAAGGCCUCGGGCAUGUGUCUCCCUUCGGGGUGAGUUAUAGCCCUUGGCGUCAUGCGGUGUGGUGUGGUUGAGGUCCGCGGUUUAUCCUAGGACGCUGGCGUAAUGGUUCCAAGCGACCCGUCUUGAAACACGG
RNAcentral lists this ribosomal RNA (628 nucleotides) under uncultured fungus. RNAcentral's name for it is "eukaryotic LSU rRNA". It matches the Rfam family "Eukaryotic large subunit ribosomal RNA", at positions 24 to 664 of the family's 3401-position model. Lineage: Eukaryota; Fungi. The record is from RNAcentral.